RNAcentral lists this ribosomal RNA (271 nucleotides) under Salmonella enterica subsp. enterica serovar Kentucky. RNAcentral's name for it is "partial 16S ribosomal RNA". It matches the Rfam family "Bacterial small subunit ribosomal RNA", at positions 581 to 851 of the family's 1533-position model. Lineage: Bacteria; Pseudomonadati; Pseudomonadota; Gammaproteobacteria; Enterobacterales; Enterobacteriaceae. The record is from RNAcentral.
UGUCAAGUCGGAUGUGAAAUCCCCGGGCUCAACCUGGGAACUGCAUUCGAAACUGGCAGGCUUGAGUCUUGUAGAGGGGGGUAGAAUUCCAGGUGUAGCGGUGAAAUGCGUAGAGAUCUGGAGGAAUACCGGUGGCGAAGGCGGCCCCCUGGACAAAGACUGACGCUCAGGUGCGAAAGCGUGGGGAGCAAACAGGAUUAGAUACCCUGGUAGUCCACGCCGUAAACGAUGUCUACUUGGAGGUUGUGCCCUUGAGGCGUGGCUUCCGGAG